GAGGCUACGUUUUCUUCGGCGUGUAGAGGGAGCUUUCCUGUGGAUGGGUAUGGUGGCGAUCGUUGGCGGAGAACUUCGUUGCCACAGACAGGCCUAGAUUACAGAUGUGCCUCUGGAUUUUAAAAAGAGCAUCAUCAUCAUCACCACUGUCGUCAUCAUCAUCUAUGUGGGGGAGUACUGAUAUUUUGCCUGCAUAUAUGCCUGAGUACCACAUUUGUGAGUUAGACAGUUGUGAGACACCAUGUGUGUGCUGAGAACUGAACCUGGGUCCUCCGGAAGGGUAGAGUCAGUACUCUCAAUGCGGCUUUCUCGACAGAUUCUGAACAACAGUUUUCAACUUAGAGCUUUGAAGAUGAUAGAAGUCCAGAAUAUUCAAAGCUAAUCUGAAUAUUAGAAUGAGCAAUAGGAAGAUCCAUGUCUGGUGGGCAAAAAGGCCCAAAGAAAAUGAAAGAAUACACCAUGCAGAGCUGCUGGUAAGUAACCAUGGGGCAUAUAGAAAACCAUCAGGUUUUUAUGGGGCAAAACAAUGAACUUGACAAAAGGAACUUGGAAAAUUUAGUAAUCAUAGGAUAAAUGGGAAAUCUGUCAAAUAAAAAGGUUCAUGGAAGCAAUAUUUUUUUUCUAGAGCAA
RNAcentral lists this long non-coding RNA (630 nucleotides) under Mus caroli (Ryukyu mouse). Its description in RNAcentral is "lncRNA (MGP_CAROLIEiJ_G0013809.1)". Lineage: Eukaryota; Metazoa; Chordata; Mammalia; Rodentia; Muridae. The record is from RNAcentral.